This is a non-coding RNA of Rostrohypoxylon terebratum, 92 nucleotides long. The record is from the annotation of a GenBank genome assembly. Lineage: Eukaryota; Fungi; Ascomycota; Sordariomycetes; Xylariales; Hypoxylaceae.
GGCUUGGUGGUCUAGUGGUAUGAUUCGCGCUUAGGGAAAAACCCUACAGCAAUGCUUGCGCGAGGUCCCGGGUUCAAUCCCCGGCCAAGCCC